RNAcentral lists this ribosomal RNA (460 nucleotides) under uncultured bacterium. RNAcentral's name for it is "partial 16S ribosomal RNA". It matches the Rfam family "Bacterial small subunit ribosomal RNA", at positions 338 to 795 of the family's 1533-position model. The record is from RNAcentral.
CCUACGGGAGGCAGCAGUGAGGAAUAUUGGUCAAUGGACGAGAGUCUGAACGAGCCAAGUAGCGUGAAGGAUGACUGCCCUCUGGGUUGUAAACUUCUUUUAUAUGGGAAUAAAAUGUUCCACGUGUGGGAUUUUGUAUGUACCAUAUGAAUAAGGAUCGGCUAACUCCGUGCCAGCAGCCGCGGUAAUACGGAGGAUCCGAGCGGUAUCCGGAUUUAUUGGGUUUAAAGGGAGCGUAGGUGGAUUGUUAAGUCAGUGGUGAAAGUUUGCGGCUCAACCGUAAAAUUGCAGUUGAAACUGGCAGUCUUGAGUACAGGAGAGGUGGGCGGAAUUCGUGGUGUAGCGGUGAAAUGCUUAGAUAUCACGAAGAACUCCGAUUGCGAAGGCAGCUCACUGGACUGCAACUGACACUGAGGCUCGAAAGUGUGGGUAGCAAACAGGAUUAGAUACCCGGGUAGUC